RNAcentral lists this unclassified non-coding RNA (383 nucleotides) under uncultured Thelephoraceae. RNAcentral describes it as "sequence contains ITS1, 5.8S rRNA gene, ITS2". The stretch from base 215 to 369 matches the Rfam family "5.8S ribosomal RNA". Lineage: Eukaryota; Fungi; Basidiomycota; Agaricomycetes; Thelephorales; Thelephoraceae. The record is from RNAcentral.
GGAAGGAUCAUUACCGAAUUGUCAACAAGAGUUGUUGCUGGUCCCUGUAUGGGGGCAUGUGCACACUCUGUUUACACAUCCACUCACACCUGUGCACCCUCUGUAGUUCUAUGGCCUGGGUGGGCUCUGUCCCCCUGCUGUGGUUCUACGUCUUUACACACACACUACAACAAAGUCUCAUGGAAUGUAUGUCGCGUUUAACGCAAUGAAAUACAACUUUCAGCAACGGAUCUCUUGGCUCUCGCAUCGAUGAAGAACGCAGCGAAAUGCGAUAAGUAAUGUGAAUUGCAGAAUUCAGUGAAUCAUCGAAUCUUUGAACGCACCUUGCGCCCUUUGGCUAUUCCGAAGGGCAUGCCUGUUUGAGUAUCAUGAACACCUCAACU